UCGACGAGUUCUCGUUGAUGAUCGGUGCUUGCACCGAGAUUCAACAUGGAACGAGUGGCGGACGGGUGAGUAACACGUGGGUAACCUGCCCUUAAGUGGGGGAUAACAUUUGGAAACAGAUGCUAAUACCGCAUAGAUCCAAGAACCGCAUGGUUCUUGGCUGAAAGAUGGCGUAAGCUAUCGCUUUUGGAUGGACCCGCGGCGUAUUAGCUAGUUGGUGAGGUAAUGGCUCACCAAGGCGAUGAUACGUAGCCGAACUGAGAGGUUGAUCGGCCACAUUGGGACUGAGACACGGCCCAAACUCCUACGGGAGGGGGCACGAGGGAAUCUUCCACAAUGGACGCAAGUCUGAUGGAGCAACGCCGCGUGAGUGAAGAAGGCUUUCGGGUCGUAAAACUCUGUUGUUGGAGAAGAAUGGUCGGCAGAGUAACUGUUGUCGGCGUGACGGUAUCCAACCACAAAGCCACGGCUAACUACGUGCCAGCAGCCGCGGUAAUACGUAGGUGGCAAGCGUUAUCCGGAUUUAUUGGGCGUAAAGCGAGCGCAGGCGGUUUUUUAAGUCUGAUGUGAAAGCCCUCGGCUUAACCGAGGAAGCGCAUCGGAAACUGGGAAACUUGAGUGCAGAAGAGGACAGUGGAACUCCAUGUGUAGCGGUGAAAUGCGUAGAUAUAUGGAAG
This 677-nucleotide ribosomal RNA is filed under the name uncultured bacterium. RNAcentral describes it as "bacterial SSU rRNA". It matches the Rfam family "Bacterial small subunit ribosomal RNA", at positions 62 to 704 of the family's 1533-position model. The record is from RNAcentral.